UACGGAGGGGGCUAGCGUUGUUCGGAAUUACUGGGCGUAAAGGGCUCGUAGGCGGCCAACUAAGUCCGACGUGAAAUCCCCAGGCUUAACCUGGGAACUGCGUCGGAUACUGGAUGGCUUGAAUCCGGGAGAGGGAUGCGGAAUUCCAGGUGUAGCGGUGAAAUGCGUAGAUAUCUGGAGGAAUACCGGUGGCGAAGGCGGCAUCCUGGACCAUUACUGACGCUGAGGCGCGAAAGCUAGGGGAGCAAACAGG
This 253-nucleotide ribosomal RNA is filed under the name uncultured bacterium. Its description in RNAcentral is "partial 16S ribosomal RNA". It matches the Rfam family "Bacterial small subunit ribosomal RNA", at positions 524 to 776 of the family's 1533-position model. The record is from RNAcentral.